RNAcentral lists this transfer RNA (73 nucleotides) under Ovis aries (sheep). It matches the Rfam family "tRNA". From Rfam's summary of the family: Transfer RNA (tRNA) molecules are approximately 80 nucleotides in length. Lineage: Eukaryota; Metazoa; Chordata; Mammalia; Artiodactyla; Bovidae. The record is from Rfam by way of RNAcentral.
UCCCUGGUGGUCCAGUGGCUAAGACUUUGUGCUUCCAAUACAAGGAGCGUGGGUUCAAUCCCUGGUCAGGGAG